Magallana angulata is the source of this 3867-nucleotide long non-coding RNA. RefSeq lists it as uncharacterized. The record is from RefSeq and is a predicted model, not a curated record. The transcript is spliced from 3 exons. NCBI's taxonomy places the organism in Eukaryota, Metazoa, Mollusca, Bivalvia, Ostreida, Ostreidae.
UACACCUGCAUACCAUCCUAUACAAUUACAACUUAUCCAUGCAUGGCUAACUCAGUAAAUCCAUUGGCUAUUAUUACAGUGAACACUUCUCCCUUCGAUUUAAAUACCCAGUCACUAAGAAUUAGAACUCAUUGCUGAAGGCAUUUACAGUAGAUAUCAUUGCUGAAGAAAUCAGAAGGGGACAGUGAACUUGGUUUAGCCAUGGAUAACAUCGAAGAAAAAUUUGCUAAAAUUCAUCAUUAUUGUCACAUCACCAGAAAGAUGAAAAAGAACCAGUCAGUAUAAAAAGUGCAGAAUUUUGCAAGUACAAUCUGAAUCGAGGACAAAAUGGAAUACCUUCCCAUCUUCCCAGUUUAACUGGUAGGGGUGCAAAACACAGUUUUAUAUGUAACGUUAUAAGGACGUUUUCAGAUGAGGGGCAAGCAAAACUGCCCCCUAUAAAAAUAAAUUGUUAAAACAUGUUUACAUAUAUAUCUAUAUAUCAAUAGAAAGAUAAAAUCGUGAAUUUUUUUAAUAUUAAAAAAUAAUGCACAUGUAACUUAAUGCUAGAAUUUAUUUGGCACUCAAAACAUGCGGAAAAUAGACAAAAGGAUGCCUCUAAAUGCAGUACACCCAUGCAUUUUAGGCUCCCCCUAAAACAUAAUGCAACUAAAUCAGCCAUUUUUAUUUAUGUACAUUUUCAAGAACAAGUCCUUAGGCAUCAUUUCAUAGUAUUUUCAGGGAACAUUCGCCAGCUUUUUAAAGAGCUAUGUUACCCGCUAAAAAAUUCAUGAAAUUAUGUAUGUGUAAAAUCCGGAUGUUUUUGGAGUUACCGCCCUUUAUUUUAGAGUCUCACAAAAUUAAUUUUUAGAAUUUGUCUACAUACUUUUAUCAUGUAUUCGAAAGAUAAUUCACUAUAUUAUACAACUGAGAGUAUAAAAAUUUGAUUUUCAUGUAUACCGCAUAAAAAUAGCAGGAAAAUUCCUACCCAUCAUGCUUUUCCCCAGAGAAAACCCCCCAGGAUUUUAUACGAAACUGUGUUUAGCUACCUAGAUUGGUGAUAUGAAGUACGAAAUUAUACAAGAAUUUUUUUGGAAUUUCAGGGGUAAAACAUCUUAAUAUUUUAACUAUUUAAAAUUUGUUUUAAAAAUUUUAUAUCUAAAUCCUUCUGAUGAAUUAUUCAUAUCAGCAUGCCACUUCUGAAUAAAUUGAUCUUGUAAUCUCUGUUGAAACCCAUUUUUGGUUAACAAUAUUUAAAGACUGACUAUGCCAAAAAUAAAAUGUGCUUUAAAAACUAGGUCAACACGUUCAAUACUAUUCAAUACAAAUACAUGUACAACCAUUACUCUUUUGGAAAAAAUCAAUAUACAGUAUACUUUUGUUUUAUCUAUAUAAACAUUUAAUUUCCACUCUUUACAAUAACUUUCAAACUCAUUCAGUGCGUUCUGCAAAUCAUCGCAAGAUAACAGUAUCCGUCUGCAUAAGAAGUACAAGCAGUUAUAUAUAUAUAUUUAUAUAAAAGUUUUGUUCUAUUGAUGUUGCAGACCAGCGAUAUUUUUUUCAACAAGAUAAUUUUCUAAAUCAUUUAUGUUCAAUGAAAACAAAAAUGGUGACAAAUGUACUCCUUGAUGGACUCCAACAUUACAAGAAAUAAAGUCGGAUAUCGUGCCAUUUAUCUUCAUGAGUGAUUCAAUACCUUUUAACAUAUUUGUAAUAUAUUUAAAACAUUUACCAUUGAUACCAUAAUUUAAGAACCAUUUCUUCAAACUGUGUGAACUGCCUGUUUGAAAUCUAUAAAACAGAGAACAAUUUUUUCUUACACUUAAUCAACGUAUUGAAUAAAAAUGUGGUCUAAAUUAGAAACCCGCUUGGUUAUUAUAGAUCAGUUCUAUCUCUUCUGAAUACAAUUCUAAACAUACUCGUACUCGAACAGAAAUUAUAUAUAUUACUAUAUCAUCGGCAUACUUUAAUUAUUAUCAAGAUGAUUGGUGGUCACAUUUUGAUUGAUAGAAGCCCUCAGAUUCUAGAUAUAAAUAUUUCGAAAGUUCCUCUUCUUAACACGUGUGUCUUAAUAGGGAAUAUAACCACCCUUAAAUGAGCCCAAAUCCCAUUAUCAACUAACUCUUUUAGGAGUAAUCUCUUUUUAACCUAUUUGAACAUCGUUUAUUUAGUAUUUAAGAUUUACCAUAGUCAGUUUCUUUUCACACACUUUCAAAAAUGAUCUUUUCCGGCAUAUCUAUAGAUUAUUGUUAUUUGCAAUAGUUCCUUGGAGUGUCAGAUGUAAAAUAAUAAGCAAGAUGGUUUACAAUCCAUUUUAAUGUAACACAAGACUCAUGCCAUGGUCUGGUUUACACAGAUUCAAAUAAAUAAAAAUGAAGUGCAUUAUGGUACAAAAUGUAAAAUAAAAAUCAUAGAAAGCAGAGCCAGGUGGUUUGGGAUACCUGUCGAUAUUAUCGUGGAUAAUAAUUAAAUUACUUUCUCUGGUUAAUAAUUUUCAAUAAUAAUGGCCAUAAAAAGGUGUUAUAUGUUAUUUGGAAAGGUAAAAAUUAAAAAAUCUCCAGUGGGUUUCAAACUUUUGACUGAAAAUUCGAAAUUAACGCUUCAGCCCAUUGUUUUCAUUGUUUUCAUUGAGGUCAGGCCAGGCCAUGUCAGGUUUUAGAGUAUAGCUCCAUAAGACUUUGACAUUUUACCACAGACACCUCUAGAUUCGUAUUUAAAUAAGAAGAAGAGAGGAACUAAUAAUCUGGGCGAUUCCGCAAAAAAGCUGCUGAAAGUUCAUCAGCAAACGUUUCUGUUAAUGUACAUGUUGCUUAGCAGAACUAAGCUUUACAUUUCAUCACGAGUUUCAGGUGUGUAAUCGGGUGUAACGGAAUCUAAGGAAUCUAAGAUUCUAGUACCUGUGUGACGGUGCCUAAUUACGAGCGGUGUUCAUCUCUAUAGUCAGUCGUUCGUCGUUUUUGUUUUUGAACUAACUUUCAGGUAACUUCAAAUUGAAUAAUUUAGAAUCGAUACUAUUUCUGGUUGGUAAAAAUUUAAAUAAUGACAGUUUCAUCAAACUUAGUGUGUGAAAAAACAAAAAUCAUAAUAUUUCAUAUUGUAAAUUUUGUAUUUACAGAAAACCAUCCAAAAACUUUCAAUAAACAUUAUCAAUAUUUCACUUUACUCUGUUAGUGUAGACCCAAAAUUGAACAAUCUGACGUAUUGAAAAUUUGAAGUUAUUAGUUUUAUUUGUAAAGGUAGGGUUCGCAAAGCCCGCACGACUUCUACAUAAUAUCCCCUGGCCAGACCCGUACAAUCCAUUGCAUUCUCAGCUCCCUGGGGAGCAUCAAGCAGAGUUGCCAAAUUACGGUGCUAAUGCUUUACAUUCAACUUAACCAGCUCGUCUCAUUUGCCAGGUACCAUGGGUGGAGAGUGUAAUGUUAUAUACCGCGAUAGCGACGGACCAGACUCAAACCCGGGGCUACGGCGUUUAAAUCGGUCGACGCUUUCAAAUGCGCCAACACCUAUCCAGAAAAUAUUUUUAACAAACUGUUCCACUGAAUUGAAAAGUUUAUCAUGUAACCACAUAUACUUAUAUUCUCAUUUACUAGAGUAAUACUAGAAUUAAUAUUUGGUGCAGAAUUUUCAGACUAGAGGUGACCCAAAUUGGCUACCCAAAACGUUAUCGCACUUUAAACAGUUAAAAAAUUGUUUAAAGUGUGUAAUUUUUUCAAAGUGCGUUGCCACACACGCCCUGCGAAUGUUUUUGUCAUUUAAAUUUUAAACAACGUGGUCCUUUCAGUUUCUCAGUAAAAAUCAUGCCUAGUGUUUAUAUUUCAUGGAAUAUAGGUACUUGUAAUCAAAAAUAAAAUCUAAACGUUCACUGAUUUUAAACUUUAUCUUCAUUAA